ACCUGCUUUCAAUAUACUUUGUAUCCCUCAUUUACUCAUGUGUUUCCAUUAUUUUGGCAGUUACACGUAUGGUCUGUGCCAGGUGUUUGUACUAAUCCCUGAGAUACUCUCCAAGUGUCACUAAAAACACUGCCACACUCUCUGUCUGCAGGGCACUGGAGAUGCUAACCGUUAACAAAUUAUUUAAUCCCAUAGGCCUACAGAUCAGAUCUGCAUCACAGAAUUAGCUAACGCUAAUUGUGCCUGGUUCAUUAUAGCCCCAUUAGUCUUGAGGCUAGUUCCUUUUAAUGUGGGUUAACCUUCUAAUUCGACCUAAGGUCUUUAAAGUUUUGUAACACUCACAACACUCACUCACUGUCGUAUAUGUUUUACUGUCUGAUGAAGUGUUGUAUUUAUUUAUGUGUAUUAUUUACAAUUUUGAGGUAAAGGGUAAGUACUGUGAUAUGAAAUAUAUGAGUUAUCCCACCAAUAGCACACACUUUUCUGUCCUUAAAACGCAACAAACAAAUAAGCAGCUCACAGCCACGAGUGUUGCCACUGAUCUAUGUGUAACCUCCCUUCAUGACACAGUACAACAUUUCUGAUACAUUAUCUUUAAGAGGAUAAAUCCUUUAAUGACCGAACCCUGAACCCGACUUAGAGCGCAUAAGGUUCUGGAAAGGAUCCAAAUGUUGGCAGGGGAAAACGUUAGUGAUUUAACAUCACCAGCCUAAUGCCUAAGCCCUGCGGUGGUGUUGUUAUAUGAAGCAUGUCACUGAAAUAUCUGAACUCAGCAACCCGAAAAUAUGCUCUUUCAAUUAGAUCAAACGAUUUCCUUAGAAGAAAGGAAAGAAAAGAAGAAACAGUAUGUUUUCUGUGUUUCAUCUGGUCUCUUUUCUCUGGCGGACUGAAAGUCAGAGAUCAACGUUGUUGUUUUGCUUUCUCCUCUGGUUUAAAUGGCACUCCAUGGGAGUUGACAGACAAGGAACAGCUAACAGGUUUCUCCUCUGGUUUAAAUGGCACUCCAUGGGAGUUGACAGACAAGGGAACAGCUAACAGGUUUCUCCUCUGGUUUAAAUGGCACUCCAUGGGAGUUGACAGACAAGGAACAGCUAACAGGUUGAUCUGGCUGCGGAACAAACAGGAAAACGAGCCAAUGCUACGUGGGGCGGCAUAAAGAGAUGGAUGAGGACAUUCUACGGAUGUAGAUUAACCGUUUAAUCCGUUUGCUUGGCGGAGAUGCUGACAUAGAAGCAUGAACAUAAUAAACCAAUUUGUUUUCA
Salvelinus namaycush (lake trout) is the source of this 1262-nucleotide long non-coding RNA. RefSeq lists it as uncharacterized. The transcript is spliced from 2 exons. The record is from RefSeq and is a predicted model, not a curated record. NCBI's taxonomy places the organism in Eukaryota, Metazoa, Chordata, Actinopteri, Salmoniformes, Salmonidae.